UUCUACCGCUGCAGAAUGACUAUGCUGACUAUGCUGGCUCUACUGUGCUUUCUAAGUCACCAAAGGGCCUCACAAGCAUGUGUGAGCAGAACUGGGAGGAUGCCAGAAGAGGGAUGAAAUAAAAAUUGUGUAUGCAUAUCUUUCUUUUUGUGGAAUUCAACCUGGAGCCAUAGGAACGUGACUUACCACUCAUGGGAAAGGCUUGCCCAGAACCAAGAAGGAGCUGCAGGGACGUUUCUCCCAAGUCAUCCGUUCUCCCCGUUUCCACUUCAUCCUUAGGACGGACCUUCAGGCCCCCAGGCUGCCUACUGACCUCCCUGGCAUGGGUGGGAACCGGGAACUCAUUGGUAAGCAGGAGGAUUCAGGACUAUCAACUGAACCCCACCUCCUCUGUGGCACGCACCGUGCUGUGACUUUGGGGUCAUCAUCUCUCAUCACCUCUGCACAGGAAGAUUAUCUCCCCCACUUUGUAAUGAGGAAACAGAGGCUCCAGGAGGAAAGAUGCAACCUGGGCCAGACGUCCCUGGAGGCUGUGCCUGACCCCAGACAGCUCAGACAAACCUGAGCAGCCAUUAGCAGCUGUGUGGGCUCCUUUGCACUGUGGGGCUGCUCCUGGGGAUAUUUAUGUUGUGAACUGGUAGAAUCUGAACUGCAUAACAUAAAUUUCCAGACAUUCUUCUUAGAUGAUGCAGUCUGCCACAGAGACCAUGUAAAUGGAUUGAAUGGGGAUAUGAUGGGGAUGACCACCCCUGCAUUUGCUAAGUUCUUGAGAGUGGCAUCAAUCUCAGUCGUUCCACUGGAAUAGGGUCAGGAAAACAAAACAUGAGGGCUCUACCAGCGGCUAAGUCUAUCCUUUCCAAUUGAGCAUACCGGAACUGAGGAAGCAGUAACAGGGUGACUCCUAAGACCCUCAUCAUCACUGUUGAGCCUGCCUUGACAAGAACUCCACUUAUCACCUGCCUCCAUAUUUUCCCAUCCUAAUUAGCUGUCGUCAUGGAAUUUCAGGCUCUGCUAAUGUCAUUAGAAUGGACCUUAACUAGUGGGCUGGAGGCAAUGAGGGGAUGUGAGGAUGCAUCUUGUGAAGGACGAAAGUCAUCUUGUAAGUA
Molecule: long non-coding RNA, 1106 nt
Organism: Rhinopithecus roxellana (golden snub-nosed monkey)
Lineage: Eukaryota; Metazoa; Chordata; Mammalia; Primates; Cercopithecidae
Exons: 6
Source: RefSeq, a predicted model, not a curated record